UUCACCUUUUAAAAAAGUCCAGAGAGGCUAAAAAGGGUGUUAUGGGCGAACCGGCUUAUUCAACAUGCACAUAAAUUCACGCACACAGCGGAUUUAUGCCGGCAAGUUCAUGCAAAGCACCCUGUUGAACAGACAGGGUGUUUUUUUCUA
This is a regulatory RNA element of 150 nucleotides. It matches the Rfam family "PyrR binding site". Rfam says of the family: This family represents the PyrR binding site and terminator structure. This RNA structure is found upstream of a variety of genes involved in pyrimidine biosynthesis and transport. The record is from Rfam.